UAUAUAUUAUUAUUAUAAUAAUAUAUAUUUUUACUAUAUCUAUAUAUAUAAUUAUAUAUAUAG
RNAcentral lists this transfer RNA (63 nucleotides) under Cocos nucifera (coconut palm). RNAcentral describes it as "tRNA-Lys". The record is from RNAcentral. Lineage: Eukaryota; Viridiplantae; Streptophyta; Magnoliopsida; Arecales; Arecaceae.